Capsicum annuum is the source of this 4277-nucleotide long non-coding RNA. RefSeq lists it as uncharacterized. The record is from RefSeq and is a predicted model, not a curated record. The transcript has 2 exons. Lineage: Eukaryota; Viridiplantae; Streptophyta; Magnoliopsida; Solanales; Solanaceae.
ACUAUUGCAACAUUUUUUUAUUUCCCUCCCCAAUAUUGCCAAAAAUCAAAGAAAUAUAAACAUUGUGUCUCUAAUUUCACCAAUGUUUCCUUAAGCUCCGAGGAACCAAUUUCACUAUGUUAUUUCAUUGAGCUCUUCGACUGAUUAACUCUCAAAUUGACCGCCUAAUUUGGGUCGGUCUUCUUUUUCUUCUUCUCUACAUCAUCAACUUCACUCUUAUCCCUCUAGAAACUUUGAUUCUAUAAACAUGGAUGAAAUUCUCAGGAAUAUUUAUUCUGAUUCUAACCCUUUUGCUUCUGACCCCACUGUUACCUUCACCAUCGCCACUGUUGUCACUGUUAAUUCUAUUGCUAUGGCCACCGGUGAUGGUGGUGGGGAUGUGGUGCUCAGUAAGACUAUGGAUGAGGUAUGGAUGGAGAUUAUAGCAGGGGGUAGGGGUGGGAGUAGGGAGACAGAGAUGACUUUGGAGCACAGUGCUCCGAUUUCACUGUGCUCCAUCCGCUACUGCUCUAACUUCAAUUUCAAUUCCUUAUAUUUUGCCUGUACUAAUUCUACUAUAAUCUUUUAAUUUUUAGGCCUUGGAAAUACAAGGAAAACAUUCUGAAGCUGUGGUGAAAUUGUUUAAAGUUUGUGUCAUUCACCAGAUAUUUCCUCCUGAAGAGUUCUCAUUUUGUAUCUCUUCAUUUUAUACUUUGUUAAGUUCGUCUGAUUUAUGCUCUAUUUGUGUAUCUCAUUGUGUGUUCUGUUUUAAUUCUUUUGGAAACAUCUUAGCAUUGAGCCAUUGAUAUCUUUUAAAAAUAAAAGAAUCUAGGAAAAAUAAUAGCUAUAACUUAUUAUUGAUCCCAAUUUUUGAUGAAGUAUAGUUUACUAUCUGAAGAAAAUGGCUAGCAAUCAUCCUAGAAUAUGGAAUAUUUACCAUUUUUAGUAAUUUUUCUGGUUGUCACUAUUUUAAGGUGCUAUUGGAAUUUGCACCGUAAUUUCAAACUAUUUCAUGCUAUUUAUUGUUUUAUUGGCUAUCUUACAGCUUGAGAUGGAGAUGGUGGCUCGUGGACUUGAGAAACACUUAAAAAUAGACCAACGGGAGUUCCUAUACGUAUAAUAAUAUCAUAUUCAUUCUGAAUCGACUAAAGUGUAGAUUUUGAAUUUUUUCCUAUCAGGUGUUGCUUGAUGAGGGAAAUCUCCAGCUUGUUAACUUUACAUCCUCUGUUCCAGCUGAGAACUCUAGAAUCUAUUUGGCUUUUCAAUUGAAUACUAAAAUGCCCAGUAAUAGGCUCAUUUACUCCAUCGGACUGACAGGAAUGCUGCCUUCCACUGUAGAUUACUGGUUGACAGAACAACAGUAUCAUACUUCCACUUCCUUGAAUUACAACACAGGUUAGUGAAUUGAUUAAAUUUUAUAAAUUGAUUAGUGUUGGAUGGUAUUGCAGGUCUAUUACUAUGAUGGAUAGUUAAAGAUUGUGGCGAGAUAAAUAUGAUCCUUCCAUCUUAAUAGUGUUUCAGGUUUGAGUCAUUCUUGGUAUAAAAAUAAAGAUGUUUCUCUUGGAUCUUGGUUUAUUGGGCUUGAUGUUGAACAUAUUGAUGAACGAAGUUUGUGCUAUGGAACACCCCCAAGUAAGACACUAACACUUAUUCACUCGAAUACUCUAUGUGAUGUGCUGGUUUCUGGUCUUUGGCUUCUGCUACUAGAGUUGAUGAUUGUUGACAUGUCUCAUUUCGAACUUAAACAAUUUCUUUAUUAUUUUCCGUAGCCAAGAAGUCCUUAGGUAUAUGUUGUUGCAUGAAAAAUCCAACAAAGAAUUCCCCUUAUAAGCAAAUACAAAAUAAACAAUGUGAGAGAAGCGCGAAUAUGUACCUUGCUAUGAGUUGCACCUUUGAAAUUAAUAACAAGUGAAAAUAUUCACAUUAAGGAUCAAAAAAAGAAGAAGUCUUUAUAUCUCUAUACUAGCUCUCUAAACUCAUGCAUAUCAGCAAGUCUUACAAUGUUCUCAUCUCUAUUUUUGAUCUUCUAUUUGGAGCUGAAAGUACCAAAAAAUGCUGCAAAGCUUCAAGAGUGGAUUUUCUUGGAGAAAUAUGGCUACUGCUAUGGUGACGGUUAUUCCUGUCCUUACAAAUAGUUAACUUCUGUAAUGAGCUUAAUUGAUUGGUUAUUGUUUUUGUUAUACAUCUUGCGUUGCUCAUAAAACUAUGCAUGCAUUUUUGGUGCCUCAAUCUAUUUAUAACGGUUAAUGUAUUUAAUUUUGACUGUGUUUGCUAUGUUGCCUUCUAAUGUCAAAGCUUUAUGAUUCCAUCACUUAGAGUCUUAGACUUCCAUGCAAAUCCAUUUUCUGUGAAGUCACACCUUUGUAAUUUACUGGCAAACUAAAGUGAUUGGCAGAUGGAGAAUUGCGACUGCAUUGCAAUAAGGUGAUUAUUCCCUUGCCCUUUUGCUUGUACCUCACGAUUCUGCCACGGGGACCUGGGCCUGAAGAUUAUACUGAUGCAAUCUCUAUUAUUUAUGAAUUCUUAUCUUCCUAGGAUAAAAUUCAUUUUAUAACUCUCUUUUAUAGAAAGAUCAGGUAGAAAAUGUACAACAACAUUAAGCCUAAAAAUAUUAUUUAUGGUGGCCAACAAAGAGGGGGAAAUGAACUGAUAUUGAUAUUGAUACUGUGCUUGUUGAAUUUUUUUUCCAUGGUAGUGCAAUUGACACCUAAAAGGAGAGUGGGAAUGACCAGGUUAAUUUCUCUUUCUCUGGAAAUCAAUAUUUUCUGCUAGUGACAAUGUUUACGUUGGGAAUGUAAUACAUCUUAUCUGGUAUUAUGUAUUUAAACUUUUGAUAGUAUUGGAGAUUUAUUUUGUUGGAUCAUUCCCCUUAAUUUGUUUGUUGGCAGUUGUACCUAUCAUAAAAUGUUAUAGAGUUCUCUUUAUAGUUUGUCAAUAAGUUUUCUUUGAAUUGAUAGUUCUCCAUUGCCGAAUUCAAUUGUGUGUUGGCUUAAAGAUAUCUCAAUUUAAUUUGCUUUUAUCUUGUUCUUGUUAUCGUACACGAGUUUAGGCCCUGGCAAUUUUGAGCAGAAUUCGUGAAGAUACGAGAAAAAAGCUAUCAGCCAAAGGCUAUUACCCACAGGAGGGAUACAUCCUACAAUACUUACCAGUACCUCCGAACUGUUUGUAUGUGCCUGAUAUAUCUGAUGGGAAUAGUAUCAUGUCUUCGGAUCACUCUAUAAUAAUGCUAAGGAAGGUGCUGAGACACCUCAUUUUGAGGCUCAUGAAUUGGAAGCGAAUGAUUUACAAGAAACAGUUGUCCAGUAUCUCCAAUGUAGGGGGACAGGCAAGGUACUAAGACUGCUUUUCUUGUUAACACUUGAAGUUGUACAACUAUUAAACUUUUCCUAUCUGCUUAGAGUAGUUUGUGAUUUUAUUGUUUGAGACGUCUAAUAUUAUGACAUGUCUUGGAAGUAGUUUGUAGCACUUGCAAUUUCUAGCAAUUAGUCACUGCACCACUUUGUGCUUUUGCAUAGUCUCCUUGGCAAGACUAAUUUUGGGUUCUUGAGUUUUCAGUUUCUUUUUAAAUUCUUGAGUACAUGUUUAAGUGUCUGCACUUAUGAGUCUUGGCUAAUUUACAGUUUAAAACAAACAGAAUGUGCAGGAUGAGAGACUAUCCAUUUCCGGGGAAUUUCGCAAAACAUAUUGGGCAUUCAACUCCAUGGACCUUCAAGCAUUCAGAAAAUUGAUCCAACAACUGAAUGUGGUAUUUGUUAUGCUCCAUAUCUUUCAAUUGGUAAUCCUCUAUCCAUAAGAUAAACCCAUUGAUAUUCUGUGGAUGGCAUUGACUUGGUGAUGUCAAUAUAGAUGAAGAACUUGGUGGUAGAAGCUGAAGUAGCACUGAUUGUAUAUGUGAAAAUAACAACUGCAGUAGGGCCUUCCACAGUGUUUGCCUGAAAAACAAUACGAGGCAUACGAAUAGCCAUUAUUGUUAGAACUGUUGCAUUAUUUCUUGCCUGCCCGACUAAACUCAUAAAUUCCAUAUUGCGUCGCACGAGAAGUACCUGGAAAUUCUAUUAUGUUUGGAGUAUACAAAGCAUUAAAGCUGUAUUUUGCAGGAGGUAUGGAUACUUCUGGUGUUGUUGUUCAGUGGAGAAAGCUAUAAGAAGGUCCUAGACUUGCUGUUUUUGAUUUAGAUUACUAGCUUGUUGUAAAGAUUUGUCUUGUGACGUGAUUAUAUAUGUAAUUACUAAUUUAUAUAGUUGCAUAAAAUUUUAAUUUUGAUUACUAUAUUAAUGAAAGAUUUUGUUGUGAUGUGU